This 150-nucleotide unclassified non-coding RNA is filed under the name uncultured Entorrhiza. Its description in RNAcentral is "sequence contains ITS2". The record is from RNAcentral. Lineage: Eukaryota; Fungi; Entorrhizomycetes; Entorrhizales; Entorrhizaceae.
AUUAUUCAUCCAAAUCUCCUUUUGGAUGGUUCUGAGCUUUGCUGCGCGUUAGCUAGCUCGAAAUGAAUGGGGCGACGAUAGACCAGUUUAACGUUAUAUUUUAUUCUCGAUAAGCUGGCCUAGGUUAGUAGCCUUUAAACCCAAUUUCAA